GCAAACUUGGUCAUUUAGAGGAAGUAAAAGUCGUAACAAGGUUUCCGUAGGUGAACCUGCGGAAGGAUCAUUAACAAUUGUCCACCAUAAUGGAUAAUUUUUAUCCAUAUCCACCUUGUGUGAAUUCAUUGAAAUGUUUAUUGGCAGGUUAGGAUGUUUCCAUUGGUGAAACUUUCUGUGGGUUUUUUGUCGACUCGGCCUGCCAAUUUUAUUAUGUUUAAACAUGUCUAAAUAAUUACUGGUCUGAAAUUGUAUAUUUUUAUAUAAUAAAAUACAACUUUCAACAACGGAUCUCUUGGCUCUCGCAUCGAUGAAGAACGCAGC
RNAcentral lists this unclassified non-coding RNA (324 nucleotides) under uncultured fungus. Its description in RNAcentral is "partial contains small subunit ribosomal RNA, internal transcribed spacer 1, and 5.8S ribosomal RNA". The stretch from base 1 to 73 matches the Rfam family "Eukaryotic small subunit ribosomal RNA", at positions 1759 to 1831 of the family's 1831-position model. The record is from RNAcentral. Lineage: Eukaryota; Fungi.